GAAGGGGGCCAAGCGUUGUUCGGAAUCAUUGGGCUUAAAGAGCACGUAGGCGGAAUACACAGUGUCUUGUGAAAUCCCUCGGGCUUAACCGAGGAACUGCAGGGCAUACUGGUAUUCUUGAGACAAGUAGGGGUGCAUGGAACUCUGGGUGGAGCGGUGAAAUGCGUAGAGAUCCAGAGGAACGCCAGCGGAGAAAUCGGUGCACUGGGCUUGUUCUGACGCUGAGGUGCGAAAGCGUGGGUAGCGAACGGGAUUAGAUACCCCGGUAGUCCACGCCGUAAACGAUGUCUACUAGAUCGUGGGAGUUCUGACGCUGUCGCGAUCGUAACAAAAGUAUUAAGUAGACCGCCUGGGGAGUACGGUCGCAAGGCUA
Molecule: ribosomal RNA, 373 nt
Filed under: uncultured organism
Description: partial 16S ribosomal RNA
Rfam family: Bacterial small subunit ribosomal RNA
Source: RNAcentral